UUGAUGAUUUUUUAAAACAUUUUUGAAUGGUUGUCUAUUUCUCCUUCUACUUCUUGCCAUGCUUCUUUCUUCCCUGUUUAUUCCCUCCAGGUCAGUGGGAUUUAGAAAGGUCUGAAGUUGAAGAAAGGUAAGCAGGAGAAGAACCCAUUCAGUGUGGCUCUCUUUCCUCCCCUUUAUUCACCGCCACUAGCUGAAGCAUAUCUUUUAAAAAGACUUGAAGGGACAUGUAGAGAAGUUUCUAUUCUUGCUUUUCAUAUAAAAGACAGCUUUGGCAUUGUUUUCAUUUAAUGUCUAUAAAGCUGCUCUGCAUAAGUACCAUGUGAAACACAGAGAUUAGUAUUGUUAAUUUAAUGCAGUAAGCUUAGAGUCUUUAUAAGAUAUCAUCUCCUUUUGAACUUUAUAUUCAAAUCAGUAGAGACCAGAACAGAGUUUUUCGGAAGAAUAUUAACUUUCCUCCCUCAUAUAUUAAGCAAAUAGGAGGGCCAGAGAAAAUAUAAAUACGUGUGCUCACACACUGGCAUAAAUCAUCCUGAUAUGUAAGAGAGUAGGCCUUUUUAAUUUGUUCUUUUCUCUCAUAAACUGUUGGGGAAAUUGGAUGAACUUGCUCUACACAUAAUGGAUACAGUAAUGUGGGGAGAUGAUCCGUUGCAAUGAUGCAUUUGGAUAGGCUCUAAUGAAGUCAAGAUUCAACUUAUUGAUGACAAAAAAACAAUGGUUAUGUACAAAGUAUCAUAUAUCUUCUCAUCAAGCUGUCCCACCGAAUCAGAGAAGCAGUGUUACCUAAGUCAUGCAUUAUGUUUUCAUCUUUUAAAAAGGAACAAAGCUGAGACAUUUCAACUUGAUUUUUCUGCAUUCUCUUUCAGGUAACUUCUUAACUUGGCACCAGUAGAAUGUUUGAAAGGAAACUAAAAUUCUUCUAUAGGCAGGAGCAGCAGAGAAAUCCUUGCAGGAAAAUGUCAGCCAAGGAAAAUAAAUUGGCUUUAAUCACUGAUUUUUUUGACAUUAAUACAUUUAUAUUUCUUGUUACAUUUUAUUACAGCAGAUAUUAAAAUUAGUUUCCACCUUCCUAGGUUCACAAUAAUUGAAAAUGACAAAAGGCCAAAGGGACGCCAUGUAUGAUCAGAGGAAGGAUGAAGCCCUCAGGGGGUAUAGGGAGUUGGCUGCACAUGGUCCUGCAAGUGGGAAAUAAAGACCUGGAUAACAGAGAGAAUUCUGUAUCCAGCAUAGUUGGAGCCCCAGCACAAGUUUUGUCAAAUGCCUGAUACGCCCUUAUGAUAUGCCAUCUUGUUCAUUGCAGACAGCGCUACACAAUGCUCCUAAAAAAUUCCUUUGUAGGAAAGGCCAACAGGCUGGGUGACUAUUAGUCAGGUAUACUUUGUUUGAAAUGUUCCUAUCUGUGCUUCUUAGAGCCUUGACUUAUUUUAGUUUUUACAUUUGUGUUGAUUAACUUUCACAAAAAAAUACAUGUAUAAAAUGAGGGGGGAUGCCCUGUGAUAGAAAAGACAGUAGUAACCAUUCCUCAGCUUUUCCUGACUUCUUUUUAAGUUGACAAUGACAUUUCAAAGUUAGGUUUUGUAGCAAUAUAUCACCUACUACAAUAUUCCAUUCCUAUGCAUUUAGUCUUUGAAUUAAAUUUCUGUCUUCUAAGGCUUCUCUGCCCAUGAUCUCUAAAUGUUAAAGAGAAAGAAAGGUUCAUGAAAACAAAUCUUCCUCUGUUUUACCCAGAGGAAGGUCCUGGACAAGGAGGAGGUUUCCAGAAGUUAUAAAAUUUUCACUUUCCAUAUCUUUCCUGAACUUUGGGGGUAUGCUGGCUAAUCAGAGGACCAGUGAUAAAGCUUAAAAAAACAAUUAUUUCUUUCUGAAAAAUAACAGAAGUGAUUUAUUGAGAGCCCACUACAUGCCGGACAUUGUUCUGGUCCUCACAUCCUAUUUUCUUUAAUCUUCACCAAAAAAUACUAUAUGAUAGCCAUUAAUAGAUCAUAUGACAGAUAAAUUAAGCAUCCAUGAGUUUAAAUCAGGACCUUCCAAGACCUGGAAGUUCAAGCCAUUUUCGUUUAUUAGGCUUUUAUUAAAAAUUAAAGAAGUACCAAAUCAUGUCACAACAACUAUUGUGAUAAUUUUAAAAUUAUAUAAGAAAAACAUUUAACACAAAA
Long non-coding RNA from Symphalangus syndactylus (siamang), 2153 nucleotides. RefSeq lists it as uncharacterized. The record is from RefSeq and is a predicted model, not a curated record. Lineage: Eukaryota; Metazoa; Chordata; Mammalia; Primates; Hylobatidae.